Long non-coding RNA from Rhinichthys klamathensis goyatoka, 334 nucleotides. RefSeq lists it as uncharacterized. The transcript has 3 exons. Lineage: Eukaryota; Metazoa; Chordata; Actinopteri; Cypriniformes; Leuciscidae. The record is from RefSeq and is a predicted model, not a curated record.
CCUUGCAUUUUAAUGCUAGACUCCCAGUCUGAGCAAGUGAGUGACAGCAUGGAUGUGUUCCAAAACAUUCGAAGUUACUUAACAGAAAUGUGGAAAAACACAAGAAAAAAGCCCCGUAUAUUUUCUGCAGAUUCUAUGCCAGCGCUGAAAGUGUGGGUACCCGGACAGCAAGGAAACACCUCUGAAUGCGGCAUAUUUGUGUUACUCUAUGCAGAGAACUUUCUGAAGGAUCCUUCCAAAGAACUAAUCGAUGAGCUUGACUGUACAUCCUGGUUUACACUGGCCGAUGCAUUUUCAAGGCGUGCACAGAUCAGGGGCAAAAUGCGAAGUAGUU